This is a non-coding RNA of Pelobates cultripes (western spadefoot toad), 364 nucleotides long. NCBI's taxonomy places the organism in Eukaryota, Metazoa, Chordata, Amphibia, Anura, Pelobatidae. The record is from the annotation of a GenBank genome assembly.
GCUGGUUUCCUAAUCAUGUAUUGUAUAUGUAUCGCUCUUUUAACUAUAGUGAAAUAGAUCCAUCAUUGGGGCACAUGAUCCUCACAUUGGUGUCUCGUGUAUUAAGUUUUUCUAACUCUUGUGUCAACCCUUUUGCACUUUACCUUCUCAGUGAGAGUUUCAGAAGACACUUCAAUAGCCAACUCUGUUGUCGGAGGAAAGCUCAUCAUGAGAGGUCUACUAGCUAUCUGCUUAACUCAUCUGCAGUACGAAUGACAUCUCUGAAAAGUAAUGUUAGAAAUACUGUAACCAGUAGCUCUUUACUUAAUGGACACAGUCGUCAGGAAGUAUCCUUAUGAUCUCUAAAGAAAGAAAAAAUAUUAAG